GUACACUCCUACGGGAGGCAGCAGUGGGGAAUUUUGGACAAUGGGCGAAAGCCUGAUCCAGCAAUGCCGCGUGAGUGAAGAAGGCCUUCGGGUUGUAAAGCUCUUUUGUCAGGGAAGAAACGGUGAAAGCUAAUAUCUUUUGCUAAUGACGGUACCUGAAGAAUAAGCACCGGCUAACUACGUGCCAGCAGCCGCGGUAAUACGUAGGGUGCAAGCGUUAAUCGGAAUUACUGGGCGUAAAGCGUGCGCAGGCGGUUUUGUAAGUCUGAUGUGAAAUCCCCGGGCUCAACCUGGGAAUUGCAUUGGAGACUGCAAGGCUAGAAUCUGGCAGAGGGGGGUAGAAUUCCACGUGUAGCAGUGAAAUGCGUAGAUAUGUGGAGGAACACCGAUGGCGAAGGCAGCCCCCUAGGUCAAGAUUGACGCUCAUGCACGAAAGCGUGGGGAGCAAACAGGAUUAGAUACCCCGGUAGUCCCAUG
RNAcentral lists this ribosomal RNA (477 nucleotides) under uncultured organism. Its description in RNAcentral is "partial 16S ribosomal RNA". It matches the Rfam family "Bacterial small subunit ribosomal RNA", at positions 331 to 799 of the family's 1533-position model. The record is from RNAcentral.